AGGACGAACGCUGGCGGCGUGCUUAACACAUGCAAGUCGAGCGGAAAGGCCCACUUGUGGGUACUCGAGCGGCGAACGGGUGAGUAACACGUGAGUAAUCUGCCCUUCACUCAGGGAUAACUUCCAGAAAUGGGUGCUAAUACCUGAUAUGACCUGUCCCUGCAUGGGGGUGGUGGAAAGUUUUUUCGGUGGGGGAUGUGCUCGCGGCCUAUCAGCUUGUUGGUGGGGUGAUGGCCUACCGAAGGCGACGACGGGUA
RNAcentral lists this ribosomal RNA (257 nucleotides) under uncultured bacterium. RNAcentral describes it as "partial small subunit ribosomal RNA". It matches the Rfam family "Bacterial small subunit ribosomal RNA", at positions 26 to 285 of the family's 1533-position model. The record is from RNAcentral.